Molecule: RNA transcript, 591 nt
Organism: Sapajus apella (tufted capuchin)
Lineage: Eukaryota; Metazoa; Chordata; Mammalia; Primates; Cebidae
Gene name: 60S ribosomal protein L24 pseudogene
Exons: 1
Source: RefSeq, a predicted model, not a curated record
UGGAGAUCUCUUCGCCAUCUUUUCUCCUCCCGUGGAGCCGCAGCCAUGAAGGUCGAGCUGUGCAAUUUCAGCGGGUACAAGAUCUACCCCGGACACGGGAGGCGCUACGCCAGGACCGACGGGAACGUUUUCCAGUUUAUUAAUGCAAAAUGCGAGUCGGCUUUCCUUUCCAAGAGGAAUCCUCGGCAGAUAAACUGGAUUGUCCUCUACAGAAGAAAGCACAAAAAGGGACAGUCGGAAGAAAUUCAAAAGAAAAGAAUGCGUCGAGCAGUCAAAUUCCAGAGGGCCAUUACUGGUGCAUCUCUUGCUGAUAUAAUGGCCAAGAGGAAUCAGAAACCUGAAGGCUUUGGAAAGGCUCAACGAGAACAAGCUAUCAGUGUUUUUACCCCGCAGGGCUGCCAAGGAAACAAAAAAGGCUAAGCAAGCAUCUAAAAAGACUGCAAUGGCUGCUGCUAAGGCACCCACAAAGGCAGCACCUAAGCAAAAGAAUGUGAAGCCUGUGAAAGUUUCAGCUCCCCGAGUUGGUGGAAAACGCUAAACUGGCAGAUUAGAUUUUUAAAUAAAGAUUGGAUUAUAACUCUAAAAAAAAAA